AACUUUCAGCAAUGUAUCUCUUGGCUCUCGCAUCGAUUAAGAACGCAGCGAAAUGCGAUAAGUAAUGUGAAUUGCAGAAUUCAGUGAAUCAUCGAAUCUUUGAACGCACCUUGCGCUCCUUGGUAUUCUGAGGAGCAUGCCUGUUUGAGUGUCAUGAAAUUCUCAACUGCUUUAGCUUUUGUGGUUGAAGUAAAGUUGGAUUUGGAGGAAUAAUUGCUGGCGUAACCUUUUAAGGUUGCUUGUUAGCUCCUCUUAAAUGGAUGAACUUUCCAGUAGUGUAAAAGUAACACCAAUGUGAUAAUUAUCUACGUUGGAUGAACUUGUACAAGGAAAGAUGAAUCUGUCUUGGACCCCCUUGACGAAACAAAUGACAAAUUUGACCUCAAAUCAGGUAGGACUACCCGCUGAACUUAAGCAUAUCAAUAAGCGGAGGCU
This 435-nucleotide unclassified non-coding RNA is filed under the name uncultured Thelephoraceae. Its description in RNAcentral is "sequence contains ITS2". The stretch from base 1 to 154 matches the Rfam family "5.8S ribosomal RNA". The record is from RNAcentral. Lineage: Eukaryota; Fungi; Basidiomycota; Agaricomycetes; Thelephorales; Thelephoraceae.